CAAUAAUGUAAUGCUUGGGGUAUACAAUGUUUUUUUAUACUUUCAUCUUAAAUUAUAUUAUGAACACGAGACAAACGAGACAUUUCAGUGUGUCCACUCUUGUUUUUGCUUUUGAAGAAGAUAUGACAGAAUCGAAGAACCAUUUAUAUAAAUUGAAAACCCAAAAUAAUCAUUCAUGGAAGAUUUAAGCAAAAAAUUUAAGGUGAGCGAUUCAGGCUCUUGAGAGCCUCUUGUUUUGUCGAGCCUGCAACUUUUGUUGCAGAAAGCUCGACAUAGGGAUAGUGAUCUGGCGGCGGCGACGGCGGUGUUAGCUCACUUCUUAAAAGCUUUAUAUUUUAGAAGGUGGAAGACCUGGAUGCUUCAUACUUUGUAUAUAGAUGCUUCAUGUUACGAAGUUUCUGUCAGUCACAUGUCCAAUGUCCUUGACCUCAUUUUCAUGGUUCAGUGACCAUUGAAAAAAAAGUUCAAAUUUUUUGUAAUGUUGAAUUCUCUCUUAUUAUAAGUAAUAGGAUAACUUUAUUUGAUAUGUGCGUACCUUGCAAGGUCCUCAUGUCUGUCA
This 559-nucleotide long non-coding RNA is filed under the name Mytilus galloprovincialis (Mediterranean mussel). Lineage: Eukaryota; Metazoa; Mollusca; Bivalvia; Mytilida; Mytilidae. The record is from RNAcentral.